RNAcentral lists this ribosomal RNA (858 nucleotides) under uncultured bacterium. RNAcentral's name for it is "bacterial SSU rRNA". It matches the Rfam family "Bacterial small subunit ribosomal RNA", at positions 56 to 912 of the family's 1533-position model. The record is from RNAcentral.
UGCAGUCGAGGGGCAGCGCAGUGUAGCAAUACAUGGGCGGCGACCGGCAAACGGGUGCGGAACACGUACGCAACCUUCCUUCAAGCGGGGCAUAGCUUUCGGAAACGAAAAUUAAUACCCCAUAGUAAUGUCUGAGGGCAUCUGAGGACAUUUAAAGAUUUAUCACUUGAAGAUGGGCGUGCGCCUGAUUAGGUAGUUGGCGGGGUAACGGCCCACCAAGCCUACGAUCAGUAACUGGUGUGAGAGCACGACCAGUCACACGGGCACUGAGACACGGGCCCGACUCCUACGGGAGGCAGCAGUAAGGAAUAUUGGUCAAUGGACGCAAGUCUGAACCAGCCAUGCCGCGUGGAGGAUGAAGGUCCUCUGGAUUGUAAACUUCUUUUAUCGGAGAAGAAACCCCUGAAUUCUUUUAGGGUUGACGGUACCCGAUGAAUAAGCACCGGCUAACUCCGUGCCAGCAGCCGCGGUAAUACGGAGGGUGCAAGCGUUAUCCGGAUUCACUGGGUUUAAAGGGAGCGUAGGUGGGCUGGUAAGUCAGUGGUGAAAUCUCCGGGCUUAACUCGGAAACUGCCGUUGAUACUAUCAGUCUUGAAUGUUGUGGAGGUAAGCGGAAUAUGUCAUGUAGCGGUGAAAUGCUUAGAUAUGACAUAGAACACCGAUAGCGAAGGCAGCUUGCUACACAAUUAUUGACACUGAGGCUCGAAAGCGUGGGGAUCAAACAGGAUUAGAUACCCUGGUAGUCCACGCCCUAAACGAUGGAUACUCGACAUAUGCGAUACACUGUAUGUGUCUGAGCGAAAGCAUUAAGUAUCCCACCUGGGAAGUACGACCGCAAGGUUAAACUCAAAGGAAUUG